AUCUCAAAAACAAACAAUAUAUAAACAAAUGUCUGACAAAGCAGCACAGGGAUCUGGCACUGCAGUGUUCUCUGUCUCUGGACAUCCAUUAUCUACACCCCUGUCCUUUCUGGGAAACAGCUUCAGGGAGUUCUACUUCUGGGAAAUUACAGGGACAGCCCUGACAACAAUAAACAUAGAAAACACAUGCCAGAGGGACUCAUAUGCCCAACAACAGAGUGUGCUCCCAUCCUAUGGAGCAGCAAAUGCUUUAUGGGUGUCAUUUUUUUCCUUUUUUUUUUUUUAAGUAGCUAAGAAUAAUUGCUCUGAAGACGCAGAGCUAAAUUAACUGCUAACAUCCAAACACAGCCUGACAGUGUACCUGCAAACUUUGCUCCUGGUCCAUGGGUAAAAGGAGCUCUCAGCCUUGCAGAAACCUUCUGUUGGUGCCACCUGCCAUGGGACAGGAAAGAAGCACCUGUGAGCAAGGGCUAUGCACUCAAUACACCACUGCUGACUCCUAAGUGCCGGAAUUUCAUCUACAGAGGUAGCUUUAGAAGUUAGGUGAUGAAUUCUAUUCAUUUAUUUAAAAUAUAUAUAUAAUCCCAGCACUUUGAAAGGCUGAGGUGAGCAGAUCACUUGAGGUCAGGAGUUUGAGACCAGCCUGGGCAAUAUGGUGAAACCCCAUCUCUACUAAAAAUACAAAAAUUAGCUGGCCGUGGUGGUGCGCACCUGUAGUCCCAGCUAAUUGGGAGGCUGAAGCAAGAGGAUCAUUUGAACCCGGAAGGCGGAGGCUGCAGUGGGCCGAGACUGCACCACUGUACUUCCAGCCUGGUGAUGGAGUGAGACUCUGUCUAAAAAAAAAAAACCCCAAAACCCAAAAUUGCCAACAGGAAGAAGGCAGGAGCAAAACAGGUGCUCAUGGCUGCCAAAGAUUUGUGGGUCCUGCCUGGGGUAGAGGUCUAAAUGCCGGCUCUGCAUUGAAGACGUAAGGGAAUUUCUUUGUCUUGCUCUUGCUCUGGCUCCCUGUAACUGCAUACCAUGGUAUCUCUUUUCUUUCUAGGUGAUAAUGCCCCAUCCAUAAGUGGGUUACUAACAAAAUGGAGGACAGGACGUCACUCCUCCCCAAACACCUACAGGGGGAAGGUCCCCUUUUACUGAGCACUGUGGCCACAAUUUUAACAGUUACUGCAAAAUAAAAGUUGCUACAUUCUCAUGAUGAUGUGUUUUCCCAUCACCUGAAAAAUUAUUUACCGAGUGUCUGUAGCCAGGGUGAAAAACACCCCUAAAGUUUAGAUAUGCAUCAGUAUUUCCCUCAAGAAUAGCACACGUUAAAACUUUUAUAAAGAGAAAACAAAAAUAAGGAGUUGAAAAACAUAUAAGUAUAAAUUAAUAGCCACAAAAGGGAGAAGUUAAAGAGAGACUAUGAAAACAUCUUUGUCUUGCAGAAAGAUACAAUCUGAGAAGCAACCCUGCAGGACUUGGCUGAAAGUCAACAGGCGGCUGAUCAAAUGAAGCAAUAGAAGCUGUGUAAUUUGUCACAUCAAGCACCUGCGACAAACCCACGCACAAUCCGAGGAAUAGAUGACCAACAUACAUACUUAAAGAAUGUGAACUUUCAACACAACUUGUUCAUAACAAGAUUCUGCAUAUGAGAAAACCAAGAACCAGAAAGACAAGGGAUCUGUCAGGAACACCAUAUGCUGCAACAGAACAAUGACACCUGAGGUGACUUUCCCUUGACUUUCCCUUUCUUUUUUUGUUUUUUUUUUUUUUUUGAGACGGAGUCUUGCUCUGUUGCCCAGGCUGGAGUGUAGUGGCCCGAUCUUGGCUCACUGCAACCUCCACCUCCCGGGUUCACGCCAUUCUCCUGCCUCAGCCUGCCGAGUAGCUGGGACUAUAGGCGCCUGCCACCACGCCUGGCUAAUUUUUUUGUAUUUUUAGUAGAGACGGGGUUUUACCAUGUUAGCCAUGAUGGUCUCGAUCUCCUGACCUCGUGAUCCAUCCGCCUCGGCCUCCCAGAGUGCUGGGAUUACAGGCUUGAGCCACUGCGCCCAGCCUGACUUUCCCUUUCUUGUCAGACUGACAAGGCCAGACACUUAAAUUCAUGCUCUUUAAUUUCAAGAAAACCUCUCCCUCCUUCCCUUUUUCCUUUCCUUCCUUCCUCUUUCUCUCUCUCCCUUUCUUAUAUUUAAUUUAAACAAACUUGGUUUCCUGUUUUCUUUGCAGAAAAGUAGAAAUAAAUUGAAGGGAGGAAGGAACAAGGAGGAGACAGUGAGAGGACUGGGGAGGCUCCCUGUACAAAAGGUGGCAAAAGAGCUGAGGAUUGACAGCUGGCAAAAGUCUGUUCUUUGUUUUGGCUUACUUCUCAUUUAUUGACUAUAUGUUGCACUUGGGUAUUUAUAUAGUAAAGAAAUUAAUUUACUUUUCUUUUCUUUCUUUCCUCACUCCUUUCUGCCUCUCCCCUACCUCCCAAAUCUUCUUCUUUUUUUUUGAGACAGGGUCUUGCUCUUCACCCACAUUGAAGUGCAGUGGCACAAUCACAGCUCACUGCAGCCUUGACCUCCUGGGCUCAAGCAAUUGUCUUACCUCAGCCUCCCAAAUAGCUGGGACCACAGGCAUGCACCAACACUCCUGGCUAAUUCAAAAAAAUGUUUUGUAUUAACAGGGUCUCCCUAUGUUGCCCAGGCUGCUCUUGAACUCCUGGGCUCAACCAAUCUUUGGUCUCCCAAAGUGCUGGGAUUAAAGGUGUGAGCCACUGUGCCUGGCACCAAACCUUCUUGACAUCUAACCACAUUGUAAGAUCUGUAGAGUGCAGGUCUACUUAAGAGCCUGAGUUCUAAUACCAGACUACCUUGGUGUGAAUCCCGGCUUUCCCCAACUUGUUAACUGGGUCAUCCUCUGUAAGGUACUUUAACUCCUUGUUCUAUAGUUUUCACAUCUGUUAAAUAAGAAAAAUGAACAGAACCUACCUUACAGGCUUGUGGUAUGAAUUAUUUAUAAAGUCCUCCCUGAAAUACUAGCUAUUAUUAUCAUAAAGCUUCACCUUAUCUCACAGAUAAUCAGUAUCUUCUUUUUCUCAAUUCAACAAAACCACAGUCGGUAGAUAGUGCAUAUUUAUUUUGAGAAGUCUUAAUGGAGUAUGGCUGGUCUAACAGGUUAUUUUCUCUCUCUCUUUUUUUUUUUUUUUUGGAAGCAGAGUCUCGCUCUGUUUCCCAGGCUGGAGUAAAGUGGCGUGAUCUGGGCUCACUGCAACCUCUGCCUUCUGGGUUCAAGCGAUUCUCCUGCCUCAGCCUCCCAAGUAACUGGGAUUACAGGCGCCUACCAUCACACCCAGCUAAUUUUUGAAUUUUUAGUAGAGACAGGGUUUCACCAUGUUAGCCAGGCUGGUCUCGAACUCCUGAUCUCAAGUAAUUUGCCCACCUCGGCCUCCCAAAUUGCUGGGAUUACAGGCAUUAGCCACUGCACCCGACCUGGUCUAACAGGUUCUUGUAGCACGUCUCAGGAAAGUGGCCUUGUGGUUCAGUCCAGCUCUGGCAGAACACGCUGAAGUUUGAGACUGGACUCAGGCACACCUGUGAGUCAGCUAUGUGGAUCGGCCUUGAGCUCCAGGCCAGCCUGGGGCCACCCAGGGCCACCCUAGGGAUUGCAGUUCCACAGAGCCUGGUACAGAUCUGACAUGGCCCCAAUCAACCUCUCCAGGCCCAUCCACUCUCUGCCACUAAAAUUAUGCCCCAAAUGCUUUGCUUCAAAAGCACAGCACUUCCCUGGGCUAGUCCUGCUAUUUCUUGCACCGCCCACGCUUGUUCAUCUUUAUCUGGAACACCUUUCUCCUCCUCACUCCCUGGCAAACUUCCACUUUCCCUUCCAGGUUUUAUUUAACUCUCAUUUCCUCUAUCUGGAAGCCCCCUCAGCAGUGCCUGCCCUCUGUGCCAAGUCUCCUAGUUAUGUCUAUCCUGAUAUUUUCCAGAUUAAUGGACACAAUUCUGGCUGACCCUUCCCAUAGACUGCCAACUCCUAGAGAGCCCAGCAGCACUUCUGAGUGAUCAAAUGAUGGGCAAGCCUUUUGGAUUUCUUUCAAAAUUAAGCUCAUGGGCUUUUGAUCAGUGUUAAGAGUCAGAUGAGGACCAGCAUGGUGGCUCACACCUGUAAUCCCAGCACUUUGGGAGGCCCAGGUGGGAGGAUUGCUUGAGCCUAGGGAUUCAAGACCAGCCUAGGCAACAUAGGGAGACCCUGUCUCUACAAAACAGAAAGAAAAAAAGAGAGAAAAUCUGGGCUCCUAGAGAUUUGUUCUCAGUGGAAAGUGGGCCAGACAUGUGAAUUCUUACAUUCCUAAAGUGCAGGGUAGCAGUUACUACCACCCAUUUUUGGAGGAAGUUUCAAAGGAAUCAGACAAUUAGCUUGUUUCUUAAGGACUUCUGAGAAAAGAGAAAACAAUACUACAAUUUCUGCUUAAGUGUCACUCGGCAAACAGGUAUAACAUGUAGGUCUGACUCAAGUAUGGAUAGGUAGGAGAGAAUUACAAAUUUUUCAUGAGCUCUGAAGUUGCAGCAACUUAUUUACUUCAAUGAUAGAGCUCUAAAGGAUUUGAAGAGUUGUGGAAAUAGCAGUAAAAUGUCAUGCUAGGAGCCUCGUAGAAUUGGAGAAUGCAAGAGAGAGAAGUGGCCUUACAGAUCAAUUACUAGUUCUGAAUUAUGAGUUAGUGAUAACAUUUUCACUGGUCCCCAGAAAACUGAGAUACGUUUGGAUAAUCUGCUAUUUAUUUUUUUUAUAGUAUUGGCUCCAAGUGGUACCAUAUUAUUUUUUAAAAAGCUACAUAAAUUCAACAUAAAGAGUUGUUCCUUAUUCUGAGAUUAAAUUUGUUUACACUUUUAUGGUACUAAAAUAUUCUUUCAUGAAAAGAUGGUGAUUAUAAAUGGUAGUUUGGUCUUUUUUAAAAAAAAAAAAAAACUACUGAAAUAUAACACAUAUAUUCCCAAUUAGGUUUUUUUUUGAGAUAGGGUCUUGCUCUGUUGCCCAGGGUAGAGUGCAGCAGAGAUCACGGCUCACUGCAGCCUCCAACUCCUGGGCUCGAGAGAUCCUCCUGCUUCAGCCUCUUGAGUAGCUGGGACCCCAGGUGCGUGUUACCACACCUGGCUAUUUUUUUUUUCAAUUUUUUGUUGAGAUGGGAUCUCACUGUGUUGCACAGUCUGGUCUCGAACUCCUGGGCUCAAGUGAUCCUCCUCUGCCUCAGCCUCCCAAAGUGCUGGGAUUACAGGUGUGAGCCACCAUACCCAGCGAACGCAAGUUUUAUGCAGUCCAUUAGAGUGCAUGUUAAGCCUACUGUGCUUUGCCACAAUGAUUUUUUACAAUCAAGUAAAAUAACUUGGCCUUUACAGGCCUUUAAAUGCACAAAUUAUGCCCUGUUGUGAUUUUCAUCUGAUCAACUCAACCGGAUAGCAUGAGAAGAUUUUAUAAAUAUACACAAAUAAAUAUGCACUUAUUUCAUAACCUCCACUUAUAAGCUAAUUGAUUCACUUUCUUCCUUAUCAGUCACAAAACAGCAGCCACCACUAUUUUUUCCUUGCAGUUCACAACAUAUAGUUCUACUGCAGUAAUUCUGCCUCUAGGACCAGAUGGGCCAGCUUACUCAUGCCCUUCUAUUGAGUCAUGUAAAUAUCACAAGAUGACACAUGCUACCAAGACAAACAGAAAAGCCUUUAAACUCAGCCCUGGAGCCAGGAAAAUAUUCAAAAACUGUGAUGCCAAAAAUUUGACCCCAUUGAGCUCAAUUUUUCAUUAUUAUUCCAAUUAGUUUUGUAGUCACUAUAUUUAUGGGAGUUCCUAAUGCCUGCUGUUACCUGAAGUUGCUGUUGGGUAUGCAGGCUCACAUGCUUACCUUUCUUCCUCAUAAAAAGUUUGAACUAGCAGCCAUAAACUCAACCCAUUAAAGAGGCCAAAGUGGCCGGGCGCAGUGGCUUACACCUGUAAUCCCAGCCCUCUGAGAGGCUGAGGCGGGCAGAUUGCUUGAGUCCAGGAGUUUGAGACCAGCCUGGGCAACGUGGUAAAACACUGUCUCUACUAAAAAUACAACAGGCGUGGUGGUGUGUGCCUGUGGUCCCAGCUACUCAGGAAGUGGAGAUGGGAGAAUCAUCUGAGCCUGGGGAGGAGGUCUAGGCAGCAGUGAGCUGAGAUUGUGCCACUGUACUCCAGCCUGGGCAACAGAAUGAGACCCUAUCCCCUCCCGCACCGCCCCCCUCCCAAAAAAGCCAGCUAAAACAAAAGCUGUUACCUAGUGUAAGAUGAGUAUCCAGUAAAGUUAUUUAAAAUUUUUUUUAACUUUAGUUUCUUUUGCAUUAAAAAAAUUUUUUUUUAAUCUUAAAAAAAAAUAAGACGGGGUCUCACCAUGUUGCUCAGGCUGAUCUCAAACUCCUGGCCUCAAGUGAUCCAACCGCCUUGGCCUCUCAAAGUGCUGGGAUUACAGGCGUGAGCCACCGCGCCCAGCCCCAGUAAAGUAUUAUCUUACUCACCAUUUUUUAAAAAUUUUUGAAAUUUUGAAAUAAUUUUAGACUUACAGAAAAGUGGUAAAAAUACUGCAUCUCUGUCCCAGCUUUCCCUCAUGCUAACAUUUUACAUAAACACAGUACACAUAUCAAAACUAAGAAAUUACCACUAGAAUAAUUCUAUUAACUAAACUGUAGACUUUAUUAAGAUUUCACCGCUUUCUCCACUAAUGUCCUUUCUUGGCCUCGAGAGCCAAUCCAUGAUCCCACAUAACACAAAAAGGUUAAAUUCACCAACCUGUAGGAAUCAGGGUUUCAUCCACAGGCAAAUAAGUAUCCGCUUCUAUGGUGACUUCAUGGUCAUUUAUAUUUGGGGAAGCCUGGGAGGAAAAGGUAGGGGAAAGGUUUUCUGCUUAGUCUUAUUUCAUAUAUUUGUUUUUUAACUUAUCUUGCAAAAAUGUUUUCAGGCAUUGACAAAAACUUUUAAAAUCUUGUUUGGCUGAUGGUCAUGAUUAAAUAUAAUCAACUAAGUGGAGGUAGAUAAGGCCUCAAAAUAGCAACAGAUAAAUUUGGAAGAAACUUUCAAGUGUGCAUGCAUUUUCUUUUCUAAAUAGAAUAUGAAGGUGAAAAGUCAGAGACCACAGUGGUUUGAAAGCCUUUUGGACCUUGGCUUAUUAGUGGAGGUGUUUCUUCUAUUCUUCUCACUUGCCAGGCAAACAGAAGAGCAAUGACUGGUAACCAGGAACACACACAUCCUGAGAGGUCAGGGUACUGCUCCAGGCUCACUCCUGGGGGUGCACCUGGCACCCCCCUCUAGCCCAGUUUCCACACAGAGGCCCCACUCUCUGCUCCAUGACAGAAGCCCAGGUGUCAGAACCGCAGUCCCUGCUUUUGAGAAUUUGCCCACCUCCUCCAUGAAGAUGCAGCCUGGCCUUUGCAGGGGAGUCAAAGGCUGGUGUACUGGUCAGUGUCAGAAGGCCUGGGGUGUAGUUCCAGCUCUUCCUGAGUGGUCCCAGGGAAUUCAUUUAACCUCAUAGACUCUCAUUUCCUUUGGUUUAAAAUUGGGCUAAUGAGGCCGGGCGCGGUGGCUCAUGCCUGUAAUCCCAGCAUUUUGGGAGGCCGAGGCAGGCGGAUCACCUGAGGUCAGGAGUUCGAGACCAGCCUGACCAAAAAGAAGAAGCCCCGUCUCUACUAAAAAUACAAAAUUAGCCAGGUGUGGUGGCACAUGCCUGUAAUCUCAGCUACUCAGGAGGCUGAGGCAGGAGAAUUGCUUGAACCCGGGAGGUGGAGGUUGCGGUGAGCCAAGAUCGCGCGUGCCAUUGCACUCCAGCCUGGGCAUCAAGAGCAAAACUCCAUCUCAAAAUAAAUAAAAUAAAAUAAAUUUGGGCUAAUGAUGCCUCUACCUUUUCCAGGGUCCUUGUGAAUAACAGUGUAGGAAAGGUGCAUUGUGUUGUUUGCAAAUCGGCAAAUAACUUUAUACAUGCAUGUUUCUAGUACAAAUAUUAUUUUAUAUUAUCAAUAGCAACAUAUUUUAAAGCUUCACACCAGAAGAUGUGGAAGGGAAACCAAGUGAGGGCUUUUGCUCAGUGAAUGCUCAAAGAUGAGCUAAACUAGUGGUUCUCAAUUGGGGAUAAUUUUGUCUCUCAGGGGAUAUUUGACAUUUGACUUUUUUUUUUUUUCUGAGACCGAGUUUCGCUCUUGUUGCCAAGGCCGGAAUGCAAUGGCGCGAUCUCGGCUCACUGCAACCUCCGCCUCUCGGGUUCAAGUGAUUCUCCUGCCUCGGCCUCCCUAGUAGCUGGGAUUACAGGCAUGCACCA
RNAcentral lists this long non-coding RNA (8278 nucleotides) under Homo sapiens (human). RNAcentral's name for it is "HSALNT0030356". Lineage: Eukaryota; Metazoa; Chordata; Mammalia; Primates; Hominidae. The record is from RNAcentral.